CGUAGUCUCUGCGCAUGCGCUGAACCGAUCGUGUUUCCUCCUCCUCCAUCUUUUACUAUCUGUGAACACGGAGACACCACUUCUUGAGCACCGAAGCUGAUUAAAGUUCACCUUCCGUCAGGACUGAAGUUUACAUACCAGUGCUGUGUGCCAGAAGGUUCCUCAGCUUCUGAAGUUGGAUGGAAAUGACCUCCCCCCACCCAUUGGCUUUGAUGUGGACACACCCACCACUCUCCCACCUUGUAAGAGAAGCUGCUUUGGCUCUGAUGACGCUAAACGUCUACAUUCAGCGCUUUUUGCAACACGAUGCGUUUCCAUCUGCUGAAGCACACACGACUGAAUGUGGUGAACGUUCCUCAACGAGCUGCCAUAAACCCAGCAUGACAUCAUCUCUUUCACCGUGGACAAUACGCUGCUGUCAUUCACAGUGGGCGGAGUCUUCAAAGAAGUUGUUGUAGAUGAUAAAUCUAAAGAAUCUACAAGGUUUUCAUCACAGUUCCAGCAGUGGAUUCUGGGUAGGUUACACACGUAAAACCAAAGUGCUCAUUAUCAGCUGUAGCUUCAGAUAAUGCUUGCCUCCACUAGUAUGACUGGAAUGAACAAACAGUAAAUACUGUUUCACCACAUGUGUUUUCUGUGUAUUCCUAUAUUUACCUAAUGUAUAUUUAUUUGUCCAUAAAAUAAAAUGAUAAACGCUUUUACA
RNAcentral lists this long non-coding RNA (703 nucleotides) under Gouania willdenowi (blunt-snouted clingfish). RNAcentral's name for it is "lncRNA (ENSGWIG00000002745.1)". The record is from RNAcentral. Lineage: Eukaryota; Metazoa; Chordata; Actinopteri; Blenniiformes; Gobiesocidae.